AACGGACGCUGGCGGCAGGCCUAACACAUGCAAGUCGAGCGCGCCCUUCGGGGUGAGCGGCGGACGGGUGAGUAACGCGGGGGAACGUGCCCUUUUCUACGGAAUAGCCUCGGGAAACUGAGAGUAAUACCGUAUACGCCCUUUGGGGGUAAGAUUUAUCGGAAAAGGAUCGGCCCGCGUUGGAUUAGGUAGUUGGUGGGGGAAUGGCCUACCAAGCCGACGAUCCAUAGCUGGUUUGAGAGGAUGAUCAGCCACACUGGGACUGAGACACGGCCCAGACUCCUACGGGAGGGAGCAGUGGGGAGUCCUAGACAAUGGGGGCAACCCUGAUCUAGCCGUGCCGCGUGAGUGAUGAAGGCCUUAGGGUUGUAAAGCUGUUUCAGCUGGGAAGAUAAUGACGGUACCAGCUGAAGAAGCCCCGGCUAACUCCGUG
This 433-nucleotide ribosomal RNA is filed under the name uncultured bacterium. RNAcentral's name for it is "partial 16S ribosomal RNA". It matches the Rfam family "Bacterial small subunit ribosomal RNA", at positions 29 to 507 of the family's 1533-position model. The record is from RNAcentral.